AGUGAACGCUGGCGGUAGGCCUAACACAUGCAAGUCGAACGGCAGCACAGUAAGAGCUUGCUCUUACGGGUGGCGAGUGGCGGACGGGUGAGGAAUUCAUCGGAAUCUACUUUUUCGUGGGGGAUAACGUAGGGAAACUUACGCUAAUACCGCAUACGUCCUACGGGUGAAAGCAGGGGAUCUUCGGACCUUGCGCGAUUGAAUGAGCCGAUGUCGGAUUAGCUAGUUGGCGGGGUAAAGGCCCACCAAGGCGACGAUCCGUAGCUGGUCUGAGAGGAUGAUCAGCCACACUGGAACUGAGACACGGUCCAGACUCCUACGGGAGGCAGCAGUGGGGAAUAUUGGACAAUGGGCGCAAGCCUGAUCCAGCCAUACCGCGUGGGUGAAGAAGGCCUUCGGGUUGUAAAGCCCUUUUGUUGGGAAAGAAAAGCAGCAGGUUAAUACCCCGCUGUUCUGACGGUACCCAAAGAAUAAGCACCGGCUAACUUCGUG
This 492-nucleotide ribosomal RNA is filed under the name uncultured bacterium. RNAcentral's name for it is "partial 16S ribosomal RNA". It matches the Rfam family "Bacterial small subunit ribosomal RNA", at positions 29 to 507 of the family's 1533-position model. The record is from RNAcentral.